CUCUCUAGGACCCUAGAGGCCUGGCGUCUCUGCUCCUCCGGCCCAGCUCCUGCCCCGCCCGCCCGCUCGGCGCCCGGACCCCGCCGAGUUCCCCUCUGCAGGAGGGGCCGACCCUGGGCUUGGGUCCGGCAGGCGCGCGGUUGCCACGGUGCCAGAGGCGCGGGAGGCCUGGCCCUGCCCCUCCGGGUGUCGCGAACAGGUACCGUGGGUAAAAGAGGACUCAGACUCAGAUGGCAAUUCACAUACUUAUCUUAUAUUGUCAUAAUUCAUUUCAAUACAAUUACCACACACUAUGCAAUUAUCACACAAUAUUAAGUCUGCCAAUUACCACGUCCCUGUACCUGUACUGCGCAAGUCCUUAUGGGAGCACGACGUUUCCUCCCGCAGGGUCAGAGGGUCCGAUCCCUAGACGAAGGGCGUCGAGUCGGCGCUAGGCUAUCUGCCUCUCCGCUUGCCUCAUCCUCUGGUCUCAUCUGGUCGGAGGCGAUGCUCCUCCCAGUGGGAUCAGCUGUGCAUAGGUCUCGGUCGGUAGUCAGAUCAUCAGAUUGACUGGUCGACUGGUCAGUGGGACGGAUCGUCAACUUGCUUGGGGUCUUCAGCUCCUUUUAUACUAUUCUAACUGGGUGUUUGUGGUAUUGGUUCAGACUUAUCACACUGUCCAUUUCGUGGGCACACCCUGUCCAGUUCAGGGCACACCCUUAUCAGUUCCAUACUGCUUAAGGUUCUACUUUCAUAUCUUAUGGUUACACAUCACUCUUAUGAUUGUGUUAUAUUUAGGUUACAGCACUCUUAAAGUCACAGCACACUUUAGGAUUACAGCACACUUAGGGUUCUAAAAUUCCAUCUUAUUUCAAGGUGUUCCCCCACACCGGGUCGGCCAGAGUGUGCGGCACACAUGAGCGGCGAGCCGAGGCAAGGUGACACGGCUGCUUUGCUGUCGCCUACCCUUGCUCCUUUUAUGCACAGAACACUCCCCUAGGGCACAUUUCACCUGUGAAGCAGGAGAAGAGGCGUUAAUUGGGAAGCAGUGUUUUGCGGCAAAUCCGGAGUCAAAAUGAUCUUUCAGAGACAGAAGAGUUGGGUAAAAUAAAAAGUUUAUUGCCAGGCCAUGGCCAGCCUCAGGAAACGAGUCCUUAUAGACGGACCUUGAGCUAAGACAAUUUCUCCUUUUUAUACCUUGCUCACAGCCUACAGGGUGGCUCAAGUUGCAGUCAUACAGAAUAUAGCAAGGACGCGGUAAAGUGGCAUGAGGCGAUUUUCCAUGGUUUCAAGGUUGGGGGCUUACAUAAACAAAUUUCAAGGCUGCUUUCUAAUCUUUCUGGGAACAGGCUGCCCCACAAGAAGAGGAAGGCCCACCGGAGUUUCCAAAUAGGGACAAGUUGGCACAGACAGGGUUUUAGGGGUGGCUCACACAAAGUACAUAAACAGUGCAUUAUUGCUACAUUAAGCUGACACAGUUCAUGAACAAAUAUUUUACAGUAAUUAUCCAUUCCAAAUUAUGUUUGGCAUAACUCUUUCUACCUCAUUCCUCCCUGUUGUUACAUCAAACAGAAUCUUCAUUGAUUUGAACAGGACAAACAUAAUGGGUCUUUGCUCACAUUAGCAUUUGAUAUAUGUUGCACCCAGUGAGAAAGAACCAACCAGAGACUGAUAUUAAAUCCACACAGGAGUUUAUUACUGGCUGGGACCCGAGCUGAGCAUUGGACUCCAGCCUUGACUGGGGGGAGACAAACAUGUCUUAUACACCUUUGAGGCCAGCAGUUUCUAGGCCUCCCUAUGGGAUAGAACUAGUAAAGCAAACAAAAGGUACAGAAGCAGACCGUCCUGCUGUUAGAACAUUUGUAAAACAAUAGUUGAUUAAUUGUUACUUCUAAAGAGACUUUCUAAAGGGAGGAGGUUUUUAAGCUUCCUCCUCUGAGUUCAUCUAAAGGGCAGCCAGGUGGGUCAAGCAGCAAUAUGGAGCCUGUCUUGCUAAGGAGGGUCCUUCAAUAUGAUUGUGUGGAAUGGAUUCUUUCCAGUAUAAAUUUGGACAUCUAAUUAACUAAACAUGGUCCUACAGUCACCAGGAGUAUUAUCACCAUUUUGGGUCCCAUCAGAACCCCUAACCAUGCUUUUCAUCUAGAGAACUGCCAACUCCACAAGGGGUUGGUAUCCUAGGAACCAUACUUAGUUUCCAUCCACUUUAACCUUUCUUUCAGUUGGGUCAUGGAUUCCCUGACUACUCCUGACUGAUUUGCACAAUAAGAACAUUCUUCCCCU
This 2259-nucleotide long non-coding RNA is filed under the name Heterocephalus glaber (naked mole-rat). RNAcentral describes it as "lncRNA (ENSHGLG00100044765.1)". Lineage: Eukaryota; Metazoa; Chordata; Mammalia; Rodentia; Bathyergidae. The record is from RNAcentral.